Molecule: non-coding RNA, 118 nt
Filed under: Eubacterium sp.
Lineage: Bacteria; Bacillati; Bacillota; Clostridia; Eubacteriales; Eubacteriaceae
Also listed under: 1 other name
Description: FMN sequence
Rfam family: FMN riboswitch aptamer (RFN element)
About the family: The RFN element is a highly conserved domain that is found frequently in the 5'-untranslated regions of prokaryotic mRNAs that encode for flavin mononucleotide (FMN) biosynthesis and transport proteins.
Source: RNAcentral
CAAAAACUUCAGGGUCGGGUGAAAUUCCCAAUCGGCGGUAAACCCCGCAAGCCGUAACUGGCAGGAACCGUGUGCAAUUCCGGUGGCGACAGUAUAGUCUGGAUGAAAGAAGUAUAGU